CAGUGGAAAGUGUAUGUGGGAGUACAGGACCAGCUUGGUUGGGAAUUCUGUCAAAUUCCCAUUCAGGGUACUGUCAAAUUGCUGAGAGGUAGUGAUGGUGGACACAGUCUGCCCAAUCAAAUGAUUGAGAUGGGUGUAUAUGGCUGUUUGGUAUCCAGGUUGUGUUGACAUAUGUCACAGAUGGCUUCCUCACUGACGCUGAAGGCACGGUCAGAAUAAUCCAGUCAGGUGGGUGAUCAGGAAGGAAUUGUAGGGCUCCACCAUGGCUGUGGAAACCUGAGGGACUGGUAACUUUGAGUUUAGACUUCUUGCCAUAGACUACCAAGAGCUGUUCCAUGAGCAGAGGCAGAAACCCAGAGCUGGUGCCUCCCCUGAAGCUGUGGAAGAUGAACAAGUCCCAUAGCCCUGUGCACAGUUCAGCCAAUUUUCAGAUCAAGUCUACAUCAGUAAUCUCCUUGCCAGUGAUGUCAUGGCCUUUGGCUUAAUCCCUGGCUGCAUCUUCUUUCCCAGGGAUCAAUACCAAGCCCCCAACAUUUUUACUUUUAUGAACCAAAUUUUAAUUUUCUCUUAUUUCUUAAAAAUAAGAAAAUGAUUUUGAAAGACAUUAUAUAUGUUUAUUUUUGCCUCCUUAAGUGCUCAUGUUAAAAAAAAAUAGCCAAACAAUUUCAUGGUUUUCUGUUCUCUGGUGACUGCACUGGCAAAGAGGACAUGGAUACGUCAGGAUCUGUGACACCUGAUGUUCCAGAUCUUUUCAAAUACCUGGAUGUAUGGCAUGAUGUAAACAUAAAAACUGGAUGAGUAGUAGCAUUUUAAGUUGUUGUUCUUUCUUGUAGACACAGACAUCAUUCACUGAAUAGCCCCUCUUUUAGGAGUGCAGAAAUCUAUGCAAAUUUCCACUGUUUUACCACCAGAUGUCAGCCAUUCACUACACUGGUAAUAACUACCCUCAAGAACUCUUGAUGAGAAAUCUAUGGGAUUUUACUGUGAAGCCAGGGACUGGAUCCACUUCUGGAGGUGCUUGCGAGGCAGUGCAUUCUCUACCUGUCUCAAUGAAUGAAGUUCAGCUAAGAACAAUAGUGGAGAGAUUGCUUGAAGGCAAUGGAGUUCAUUCAUUUUCUACCAUAGUCUACCAUCUUUAAUUAAGCCAGGUUAGUAGAAUAGGCGUAGUGUACUAGGACAGGAUUAUAAUACCCUGGCCGUUGGCUUAUAUGAGGCAUGAAAUGCCACAUGCUAUAUUGAGGGAUAUAUGUAAGAACAAACCUGCAAAAUGUAUUUGUCUACUUCAUGGAUAUUGUUGAAGACUUUAAUCACACAUCUUGCUGCUGUCUUUCAGAAGAUACUUGGGAGCAAGUUUAUCUGGCCUUAUAAUUAGGAAUUAUAAAUGUUUAAUGGAUGUAUGAAUUGUGUAACUAAUCAAGUUUUACUUAAUGAGCUGCUAGAAAGCUUAGAACAUUUUGGCCUGAGCAGGUGUAACAGGAAUUAUUCUUGUAUUAAUUUUUCUAUUUUUAUCUUUGUUCUCCAUUUUUCUUUCUCACCUAUCAUUUAUCAUUUUAAUUUAUUUUUUGCAUCCAUUUAGUCAUUGUAAACUGUGUAGGAAUAAGAUUAGAUGUAGGUAACAUUUUAAAAAGUAGCUAAUGAUCAGGGAAGUACAAAUCAAAACCACACUGAGAUACCACCUCACGCUGGUCAGAGUGGCUAAAAGGAACAAAUCAAGAGACUAUAGAUGCUGGUGAGGGUGUGGAGAGGCGGGCACCCUCCUACACUGUUGGUGGGAAUGUAAACUGGUGCAGCCGCUCUGGAAAACAGUGUGGAGGUUCCUCAAAAAAUUAACAAUAGAACACCCCUAUGACCCAGCCACAGCACUACUAGAAAUUUACC
Molecule: long non-coding RNA, 1878 nt
Filed under: Suricata suricatta (meerkat)
Lineage: Eukaryota; Metazoa; Chordata; Mammalia; Carnivora; Herpestidae
Description: lncRNA (ENSSSUG00005004086.1)
Source: RNAcentral